GCUGGUGUAGCUCAGGGGCAGAGCGGCGCACUCGUAAUGCGCAGGUCGUGGGUUCAAAUCCCACCACCAGCUCCA
This 75-nucleotide transfer RNA is filed under the name Neomoorella mulderi. Its description in RNAcentral is "tRNA-Thr". It matches the Rfam family "tRNA". From Rfam's summary of the family: Transfer RNA (tRNA) molecules are approximately 80 nucleotides in length. Their secondary structure includes four short double-helical elements and three loops (D, anti-codon, and T loops). Lineage: Bacteria; Bacillati; Bacillota; Clostridia; Neomoorellales; Neomoorellaceae. The record is from RNAcentral.